This 455-nucleotide ribosomal RNA is filed under the name uncultured bacterium. RNAcentral's name for it is "bacterial SSU rRNA". It matches the Rfam family "Bacterial small subunit ribosomal RNA", at positions 340 to 786 of the family's 1533-position model. The record is from RNAcentral.
UACGGAAGGCAGCAGUGGGGAAUAUUGCACAAUGGGCGCAAGCCUGAUGCAGCCAUGCCGCGUGUAUGAAAAAGGCCUUCGGGUUGUAAAGUACUUUCAGUCGUGAGGAAGGUGUUAAGGUUAAUAACCUUAGCAAUUGACGUUAGCGACAGAAGAAGCACCGGCUAACUCCGUGCCAGCAGCCGCGGUAAUACGGAGGGUGCGAGCGUUAAUCGGAAUUACUGGGCGUAAAGGGCACGCAGGCGGUUAAUUAAGUUGGAUGUGAAAUCCCCGGGCUUAACCUGGGAAUGGCAUUCAAGACUGGUUAGCUAGAGUCUUGUAGAGGGGGUAGAAUUCCAUGUGUAAGCGGUGAAAUGCGUAGAGAUGUGGAGGAAUACCGGUGGCGAAAGGCGGCCCCUGGACAAAGACUGACGCUCAUGUGCGAAAGCGUGGGGAGCAAACAGGGAUUAGAUACC